GCCUGGGUGGCUGAAUUGGUUAAGCUUUGGACUCUUGAUCUCAGCUCAGGUCUUGAUCUCAGGGUUGUGAGUUCAAGCCCCACCUUGGGCU
Molecule: transfer RNA, 91 nt
Filed under: Mustela putorius furo (domestic ferret)
Lineage: Eukaryota; Metazoa; Chordata; Mammalia; Carnivora; Mustelidae
Also listed under: 1 other name
Rfam family: tRNA
About the family: Transfer RNA (tRNA) molecules are approximately 80 nucleotides in length. Their secondary structure includes four short double-helical elements and three loops (D, anti-codon, and T loops).
Source: Rfam by way of RNAcentral